Molecule: transfer RNA, 87 nt
Filed under: Canis lupus familiaris (dog)
Lineage: Eukaryota; Metazoa; Chordata; Mammalia; Carnivora; Canidae
Also listed under: 1 other name
Rfam family: tRNA
About the family: Transfer RNA (tRNA) molecules are approximately 80 nucleotides in length.
Source: Rfam by way of RNAcentral
GCCUAGAUGGCUCAGUGGUUGAGCGUCUGCCUUCGGCGCAGGGUGUGAUCAAAUCCCGGAGUCCCGGGAUCAAAUCCCACUUAGGCU